GGGGAAUCUUCCGCAAUGGACGAAAGUCUGACGGAGCAACGCCGCGUGAGUGAUGACGGCCUUCGGGUUGUAAAGCUCUGUUAAUCGGGACGAAAGGCUUUCGUGCGAAUAGUUAGAAGGAUUGACGGUACCGGAAUAGAAAGCCACGGCUAACUACGUGCCAGCAGCCGCGGUAAUACGUAGGUGGCAAGCGUUGUCCGGAAUUAUUGGGCGUAAAGCGCGCGCAGGCGGAUUGGUCAGUCUGUCUUAAAAGUUCGGGGCUUAACCCCGUGAUGGGAUGGAAACUGCCAAUCUAGAGUAUCGGAGAGGAAAGUGGAAUUCCUAGUGUAGCGGUGAAAUGCGUAGAUAUUAGGAAGAACACCAGUGGCGAAGGCGACUUUCUGGACGAAAACUGACGCUGAGGCGCGAAAGCCAGGGGAGCGAACGGGAUUAGAUACCCCGGUAGUCCUGGCCGUAAACGAUGGGUACUAGGUGUAGGAGGUAUCGACCCCUUCUGUGCCGGAGUUAACGCAAUAAGUACCCCGCCUGGGGAGUACGACCGCAAGGUUG
Molecule: ribosomal RNA, 549 nt
Filed under: uncultured bacterium
Lineage: Bacteria
Description: bacterial SSU rRNA
Rfam family: Bacterial small subunit ribosomal RNA
Source: RNAcentral